AACUUUAUCAAGAACUUAAAAAUAUGACCAGGUAUGGUGGCUCAUGCCUGUAAUCCCAGCACUUUGGGAGGCCGAAAUGGGAGGAUCACUGGAGGUCAGGAGUUCGAAACCGGCCUGGCCAACAUGGUAAAACCCCAUUUCUACUAAAAAAAAAAAAAAGCAAAAAUAAAUAAAUAAAUAGCCGGGCCUGGUGGCCUGUGCCUGUAGUCCCAGCUGCUUGGGAGGCUGAGGUCUGAGAAUCAUUUGAACUUGGUAGGUGGAGGUUGCAGUGAGUUGAGAUCGCAUCACUGCACUCUAGGCUGGGCAAGAAUGAGACUCCGUCUCAAAAACAACCACAAUACAAAAAGAACUUAAAAAUAUUCAUAUCCUGGGGCCGGGCACGGUGGCUCACGCCUGUAAUCCCAGCACUUUGGGAGGCAGAGGUGGGUGGAUCACGAGGUCAAGAGAUGGAGACCAUCCUGGCCAACAUGGUGAAACCCCAUCUCUACUGAAAAUACAAAAAUUAGCUAAGCGUGGUUGCACGUGCCUGUAAUUCCAGCUACUCUGGAGGCUGAGGCAGGAGAAUCGCUUGAACCCAGGAGGUGGAAGUUGCAGUGAGCCGAGAUCACGCCACUGAACUCCAGCCUGGUGACAGAGUGAGACUCCGUCUCAAAAAAUAAUAAUAAUAAUAAUUCAUGUCCUUAAACCAUGAAUUCUACUUUCACAAAUUUGAGGAAAUAAAUAUGUCAUAAGUAGACACCUAUUGGGUACAUCUCAGGGCUACUGCUCCUACUCUUCUCCCUACCACCCCCACGUGAAGAAUCAUCCAGCCCAAAAUGUCAAGCUUCUUCUCUUUUUCUCCUCCAGUGCACGUGGAAACAGCAGAAAGCGUCCCAACACUCAUUUUGUGCAGUGAGUCUCCUAUCCUGACCACAGCGGAUUGGACCAGCUCCAGUAAGUCCCUGGUAAAGCUCCUGCUGCUCCAUCUCAGGAGAAUCCCGGAUCCUGAUCAGUGCCUCAAUAUUGCAGAACAGAGGGAGUGAGGGAAAUAUUUAAUUUCCAACUCUGAAGGUCUACCAUGGAGAAGAGAGGAGCAGAAGGAAGAACUUAAUACUGGUGGAGCACUUGGUAAAAUGAAAAUAAAUAUUCUUUUUUUUUUUUGAGAUGGAGUUUCACUCUUGUCUCCCAGGCUCGAGUGCAAUGGCACAAUCUCGGCUCACUGCAACCUCCGCCUCCUGGGUUCAAGUGAUUCUCCUGCCUCAGUCUCCUGAGUAGCUGGGAUUACAGGCGCCCACCAUCACACUCAGCUAAUUUUUGUAUUUUUAGAAGAGACGGGGUUUCACCACGUUGGCCAGGCUGCUCUUGAACUCCUAACCUCAGGUGAUUCACCCACCUCAGCCUCCCAAAGCGCUGGGAUUACAGAAAUGAGCCACUGCACCUGGCGAAAAUAAAUAUUCUUUAUGAACCACUUUAGACAGUUCCUGGCCCACAGUAAACAAUCUUCUUCUUUUUUUUGUUCUGAGAUGGAGUCUCGCUCUGUUGCCCAGGCAGGAGUGCAGUGGCACAAUCUUGGCUCAGUGCAACCUCCGCCUCUCAGGUUCAAGCAAUUUUCUUCCCUCAGCUUCCCUGGGAGCUGAGGAUUACAGGUGUGUGCUACCACACUUACUGAUUUUUUUGUUUUUUUGUUUUUUUUUGAGAUGGAGUCUUGCUCUGUCACCCAGGCUGGAGUGCAGU
This 1713-nucleotide long non-coding RNA is filed under the name Macaca fascicularis (crab-eating macaque). RNAcentral's name for it is "lncRNA (ENSMFAG00000061767.1)". The record is from RNAcentral. Lineage: Eukaryota; Metazoa; Chordata; Mammalia; Primates; Cercopithecidae.